AGCUUUAUAUUCAAUAAUAAUGAUUUAAAAUUGCAAAUUUUAAGGAGUAUAAUUUAUUUAUAUACUAAGGCUU
RNAcentral lists this transfer RNA (73 nucleotides) under Asura megala. RNAcentral's name for it is "tRNA-Cys". The record is from RNAcentral. RNAcentral also lists the same sequence under 1 other name. Lineage: Eukaryota; Metazoa; Arthropoda; Insecta; Lepidoptera; Erebidae.